This 1512-nucleotide long non-coding RNA is filed under the name Malus domestica (apple). RNAcentral's name for it is "long non-coding RNA (MDOM_LNC006874)". Lineage: Eukaryota; Viridiplantae; Streptophyta; Magnoliopsida; Rosales; Rosaceae. The record is from RNAcentral.
GGGAGGGGGUGGGCUUAGCCUCACAAUGGGCUAGCAAUAAUAUGAUUCAAUGAGUUGUUUAUUAAAUAUUAUUUUCUCUAUUUUUAAACACGUUCAAAACCUCUUAAGAGGCGUGUAAUGCCGGUUAUAAAAAAAAAGUCUUUCAUACAUGGAUAAUAAUGUGAUUCAAUCAAUUGUUUAUUAAAUAUUAUUUUCUCUAUUCUUAAUGUAAAUUCUAUAAAGACCGAUUUUAUUAUGUGAAUUCAACUGCUUUAAUUGGUUUAUGAGGGGUUUCUUCUAGCAUGUUCUAAGAUUAUUCAUUUACUUCAAAUAUUGACUUUCCUUUUGUCAAUUUACGCAUAUAAAUACAUUUAAAAAGUGUAGGUCGCGCGUAGCACGCCAUAAUUAAAAAAAUGUCUUCGUCAUUUUAAUUAGUUUUUUUGUGCUGUUUUUUUUUUAAUUAGUACCUCAUAAUAGGCUUGCAAUAAUGUGAUUUAAUUUCUCUAUUUUAAAACACAUUCAAAACAUAUUAAGAGGUGUAUAAUGCCGGUUAUAAAAAUGGUCUUUCACACGCGGAUAAUAAUAUGAUUAAAUUACUUGUCAAAUGAUUUUUUUUUAACAAACAAUAUUAUCUACAUUAAGGGGGAGGGGUGGGCUUAGCCUCACAAUGGGCUAGCAAUAAUAUCAUUCAACCAGCUGUUUAUUAAAUAUUAUUUUCUCUACUUUUAAACACGUUCAAAACAUCUUAAGAGACGUGUAAUGCCGGUUAUAAAAAAAGGUCUUCCGCAUGUGGAUAAUAAUGUGAUUAAAUUAGUUGUCAAAUGAUUUAUUUAUUUUUUAAUAAACGAUAUUACCUACACUAAGGGGGAGGGGGUGGGCUUUUUCUUACAAUGGGCUAGCAAUAAUAUGAUUCAAUCAAUUGUUUAUUAAAUAUUAUUUUCUCUAUUCUUAAUGUAAAUUCUAUAAAGAUCAAUUUUAUUAUGUGAAUUCAUCUGCUUUAAUUGGUUUAUGAGGGGUUUCUUUUAGCAUGAUCUAAGAUUAUUCAUUUACUUCAAAUAUUUGACUUUCCUUUUGUCAAUUUACGCAUAUAAAUACAUUUAAAACAUGUAAGUCGUGUGUAACACGCCGUGAUUCAAAAAAUGUCUUCUACACACGUGUGAAUGAGUGCAUGAAGGCUAGUAGUAUAGUAUGAUAUAUGGAGAUUAUUGCUUCCUUUCUUUUGGCGUCAAAUAGUAUAUAGUAUCUUAACAUGGCUAUGGAAAUUAUUUAAAAAUGCUAUAUUCUUACGCAUAUUUCCUAAAAUACACCACGACGAUCCAUAAGGCUCAACACGACAACGAAAGGACCGACACUACCUUCAUGGGGCACCACCGUGGCAGCCACCACAGCAGCAACCACCGUAGUAGCCCAUAGUAAGCCCACUGACCAAGGAAAACAGGCCACCAUGCAAUAGCAGACUCAGGUCCGUGCCACAAGGCAACCAGGCCAGCACGAAGCAACCCACACCCAGCAGGCCUACAAUUUUGCAAUGGC